AAACAAACAAAGUUGGCUCUUCCUCUUUGUUCAGACUAUAGCGAUGCAGGAAAACACCCACAUCCGAGCCAUAUGUCGUGGAGCACCAAAUAAAAGGGGGGGGGAGGGGAGUGAAAGCAGCGCUCUCGCUCUCCCUCCCCUUUUUCUCCAGGGAGGUACGUGAGCCAGUCUACCAUGGCUAAACUGCAGUAAAGCACAAUGCUGCAGAGAUUAACCCAAGCCCAUAUCGUCAGAUCACCAGCAUGGCUAUGAGAGCCGGAGAAGCUCUGAGAGAGCAUUAAAUGGAUUAUACUGUGAGGGUGAUGGAGAGGAAACACAGGAGAAGAAGAAGAAGACGACAAUCUGCUAUCUGAUGACAGAAGACGCUCUUAUCAAGCGCUUCUCGAGUCGCUGACCUUCUCACAGGAUCGGUGAUAAAAGCGCCAAUUGAGUCCAUUGUGUACGGUUUAUCCUUCACAAGUGAGCGUGUACACACAUCCAUUAUUUAUGCUGUGUGUAAGCCAGCUGGUAAAAUGACUCAUUCUUUCUAUUCUUUCCCUCCUGGCUCCCACUGAGAGAUGAGUCACAACACGGGAUCAGUCCGGGUGAACAGCAAACCGUCCCGCUCUUCAAAGGGAAGCGUUCGCCUCCGUCUUCGGUCAGAACAAUCUCGAAAUUGUAACACUGCGCCGGCAGAAACGGUACUGUUUGUCUUGUUGUCUGUGUAAAGACUCCAAUAUUAGUGUAAACUGAAGGAAAAAAAUAUUGUGCUUGAAGUUAUUUUUGAUAUCAGUGAGAAAACAGGAAGACAAGCGGCACACAUUCAGAGUGAUGACACCCCCUACUCGUGCAUCCAAAUACCUGGUGCCAUGACAACUCCAUGACUGCUUCUACAUUAUUCAAAUUAUGGACUCAAAGUGUCAAUUUUUGAUGUCAUCUGUAUAAAACAAGAUAUUAUUCCUGAAGUCAUGAUCUUUGUUUUCUUUGUUUUUGACAAACUUCAGUCUAGCGUUUUACGUGUUUUUCUUAGAGGGCUAAAGCCAGUGUUUCCAUAUCAGCAACACUGACUUUUGAAAAUGCUUGGUUGAA
This is a long non-coding RNA of Poecilia latipinna (sailfin molly), 1068 nucleotides long. RefSeq lists it as uncharacterized. The transcript is spliced from 2 exons. The record is from RefSeq and is a predicted model, not a curated record. Lineage: Eukaryota; Metazoa; Chordata; Actinopteri; Cyprinodontiformes; Poeciliidae.